AGUGAAGCGGCAAGAGCUCAAAUUUGAAAGCUGGCUCCUUCGGGGUCCGCAUUGUAAUUUGCAGAGGAUGCUUCGGGUGCGGCCCCUGUCUAAGUGCCCUGGAACGGGCCGUCAGAGAGGGUGAGAAUCCCGUCUGGGAUGGGGUGUCCGCGCCCGUGUGAAGCUCCUUCGACGAGUCGAGUUGUUUGGGAAUGCAGCUCUAAAUGGGUGGUAAAUUUCAUCUAAAGCUAAAUACUGGCCGGAGACCGAUAGCGCACAAGUAGAGUGAUCGAAAGAUGAAAAGCACUUUGAAAAGAGAGUUAAAAAGCACGUGAAAUUGUUGAAAGGGAAGCGCUUGCGACCAGACUCGCCUCCAGGGUUCAGCCGGCAUUCGUGCCGGUGUACUUCCCUGGGGGCGGGCCAGCGUCGGUUUGGGCGGCCGGUCAAAGGCUCCCGGAAUGUAGUGCCCUCCGGGGCACCUUAUAGCCGGGAGUGCAAUGCGGCCAGCCUGGACCGAGGAACGCGCUUCGGCACGGACGCUGGCAUAAUGGUCGUAAACGACCCGUCUUGAAACACGGACCAAGGAGUCUAACAUCUACGCGAGUGUUCGGGUGUCAAACCCGUACGCGCAGUGAAAGCGAACGGAGGUGGGAGCCCCCUCGUGGGGCGCACCAUCGACCGAUCCUGAUGUCUUCGGAUGGAUUUGAGUAAGAGCGUAAAUGUGGGGACCCGAAAGAUGGUGAACUAUGCCUGAAUAGGGCGAAGCCAGAGGAAACUCUGGUGGAGGCUCGCAGCGGUUCUGACGUGCAAAUCGAUCGUCAAAUUUGGGUAUAGGGGGCGAAAGACUAAUCGAACCAUCUAGUAGCUGGUUCCUGCCGAAGUU
RNAcentral lists this ribosomal RNA (862 nucleotides) under Aspergillus flavus var. flavus. RNAcentral describes it as "LSU rRNA". It matches the Rfam family "Eukaryotic large subunit ribosomal RNA", at positions 92 to 968 of the family's 3401-position model. Lineage: Eukaryota; Fungi; Ascomycota; Eurotiomycetes; Eurotiales; Aspergillaceae. The record is from RNAcentral.